Molecule: non-coding RNA, 135 nt
Organism: Triticum aestivum (bread wheat)
Lineage: Eukaryota; Viridiplantae; Streptophyta; Magnoliopsida; Poales; Poaceae
Source: Rfam
UAAUUACUCCCUCCGUCCGGAAAUACUUGUCAUCCAAAUGAAUAAAAAAGAAUGUAUCUAGACGUAUUUUAGUUCUAGAUACAUCCCUUUUUGUCCAUUUUGAUGACAAGUAUUUUCGGACGGCGGGAAUACUAU